UCUCCGGAUACCAGCGGCCGAGGUGCGGGGCGGCGAGCUCUGGGACGCGCCCAACUUGGAAAGCGUCUCACUCUCCCAACGCGCGCUACUUCUCCAGCGGGCGCAGGGCUCAGGGGCACAUGCCGCCCCCGCCCUUGUGCGCUUGCGGCUCCCAGCUAGCAGUCCCCUGCACCGAGCUUUCGCCUGGCUUUCCGCGGGAGCCUUCCAGCGGAUUCUUGGCUGGCAAGGACGGGGGAGCGAGGGAGAGGGAAGUUAGGGCUGCCGAUUUCUCUCCCCACUCCAGCGGCGGCGGCGUUCAGUCCUCUGGGUGGGAUGUACUCCCAGCAGCUGCGGCAGCGGCAGCAGCGGAGGUGCCCGAGCCAUGCACCCCGUAGCCGGGGACAAGGGAAUGGCCAGGAAAAAAAGACCGGGGUGAACCAGCCGGGUGAAGUCCCAGGGCCGCAGAGCUGCACGGGGAAUCUGUCCUGGAGAAGCCUUCUCCGCCUGCCUGGACACUUUAAGCAGUGGUGGCGGCAAACAGCGUGAGAUUGCAAACCGGACAGCGAGCCUCCCUGGUUCCGACGUUGCACUGACCUCUGGAGAUGACAAGUGAGCAAGAAGUGUCCGGCCGGGCCAUCCCCCUCAGUGGCUUGAUGCAGGAUCUCAGUUACCAAAUAAGGGACUGAACUCGUGCCACAGCAGUAAGAGUGCCUGAUCCUAACCAUCAAACCACCGUGGAACUCCCUCAGAUUUUAACUUUUACUCUCGAAUGAGAAGUAUCCCAAAGUCUGGUUUCAAGACAGACCAAGAACCAGAUGUAUACAUUGGUGUGGAUAGGGAGAUCUCAAGAAGAAGCCCUCUAGUUCAAGCUGAAUGAGCAAGAAAGUCUACUGGCAGCAACAGUCAUGGCAGCCGGAAUCCACAAGCAUCUAAUGCACUAAGGAAGAGGAACUCUCUUCUCUGACCAGAGGAACUGUGGUCACAAGAAGGCGACAAGAACCCCUGUUGCUUUUUUUCCUCUGUGGCCCGUAGAUGAAAAUAGAUGGCCAUAGGGGGAAAUCUCUGAAAAGCUGGUACAAGUUUCGUUUUGGUCCUGAAGUUGGUUAUAGUUGCAGGAACUGUGUGACAGAGCAGGGUAAAUAAAAUCCCAGCUUUCCAGCACCAUGAAAGGGAGCCACAGGGAGCAGAUACUGAGAAAAGAGUGUAGAAGAGUGUAUAGAGGGAGGAGCUCGAGAAAGCAACAUCAUAAGCUUAUUUAUAAAUUCCUGGGCUCAUCCUGGAGUUGCACAUACAUGGAUCUGUUCCUUAAUAGCAAAUCAAAGACUUUGAUAACUGAACUGAGAGAUCCAGGUCCCAGACUGGCCAUUAGAUGUGGGACAAAUUUGCAUAGCUUGGCAAAUGUUUUGAAACAAGACUGCCACUGAAACCACAACUCAUAGAAAGCUGUCUGAAACUGAUGAAUCCAAUAAGUCACCUGGUUGCUAUACAAAAAUAUAGUGUCCAUAAGAUUUAAACAAGAAAUAUGUAUUUCUAUUUAAUAGCAAUAGCCAGUUAGAAUCAAAAUUUUUAAAGUAAUAUUUAUGAUAUCUCAAAAAGAAAUAUACAUUAAUUUAAUAAAACAGGUACUGGAUUUGUAUUCUGAAAACUAUAAAACACGAAUUAAAGAAAUCAAAGAAAACCUAAAUUAAUGGCAACAUGGCAACAUUCAAUGUUUUUUGGAUUGGAAGACACAAAAUAGUAAUGAUGUCAAUUUUCCUCAAAUCAAUCUACAGAUUCGAAGCAAGACUACAAUAAAAAAUCUCAGCAGAAUGUUUACUGGACAUGGACAAUCUAUAUUCUAAAAUUCAAUCAAGACUAUGAUAUUAAGCAAAAAAAAAAAAAGACAUAUAAGUCAGUGAAACGGAAUAGAGAGAACAGAAACAGAACUACACAAAUAAGGCCAACUGAUUUUUUAUAAAGAUGGAAAGCCAAUUCAAUAGAGAAAGAAUAGGCUUCAAAAAAAUGGAACAAUCAGAUAUCCAUUUAAAAAAGAACUUUGAUCUAAAUUUCACGCUUAUUACAAAAGUUAACAAAAUGGAUCAAAGAUGUAAAAAUAAAGUUCAGAACUAUAUAACUUUUAGAAGUAAACAUAAGAGAAAUUCUUCAUGACUUGAGAUUAGACAAGGAGGUCUUAGAUAUGACAUAUGAUUAUACAUCCACUAAAAAUGAUAAAUUGGACUUUAUGUUAAAUUUUAAUUGCUCUUCGAAAGACACCAUUACAAUAAUGAAAAGAUAAGCUAUACACUCAGAGAAAAUGUUUUUAAAUUUAUAUCUGAUAAAGGACUUAUGUCCAGAAUACAUAGAGAAUUGUCAGAAGUAAAACAACCCAGUUAAGAAAUGGGCAUUGGCACAUCGUUGUAAAUCAACCAUACUUUAAUUAAAAAGUAAUAAAUAUUUUUUUCAAAAAUAAAUGGGCAAAGGACUUGAACAGACACUUCACCAAAGAGGAUAUUUGUAACUAUAAGUAUACAAUAAAGGACAAAUUAAUGUAAGAGAGUAGCUUAGAUCUAUUAGAAAUUGUGGCAAUGGAUAAAUUCUAGACAGAAUUAAGAUACAUGAAAAAUAAUGCAAAAAUAAAUUUGAUUUUCUUAAUCAUUUGGAGCAAAAAAUAAAGAAGCAAUAAGCCCUCUGCUAAGGGCAGAUGGUGUAAGGUUAACAGAUUAUAGAACAUGGAACUAUUAUGCCUCCAUUUUAUCUUUUACUUUAUAUGAGUGAAAAUGGUGAGUUACAAAAACAGAAUGUACAUAUAAUUUAAUUUUAGAUGACAGAAACACAUAUGUAUGUGCAUAGAAAGAAUAUGAGAAGGACAACUAUAUCUGAUCACUUGUGAUGAAACAUGAUGGAGGAUAAUAUGAAAAAAAGAAUGCAUAUGGAUGUAUGGCUGGGUUAUUUUUCUGUGCAUCAGAAAUUGACGGAACAUUGUAAAUCAACUAUAAUAAAAAAUUUUUAAAAAAAGAAUAUGAGGAGUUCCUAUAAUGGCUCAGUGGAUGAAUCUGACUAGCAUCCAGGAAGAUGCCUUGCUCACUGAGUUAAGGCUCUGGCGUUGCCAUGAGCUGUGGUGUAGGUUACAGACUCGGCUCGGAUCUGACGUUGCCAUGAGCUGUGGUGUACGUUAAAGACUCAGCUCGGAUCUGACGUUGCUGUGGCUGUGGAAUAGGCUGGAAGCUGAAGACAUCUCUGAUUUGACCCUUGGCCUGGGAACUUCCAUAUGCCGUGGGUACAGCCCUAAAAAAAGACAAAAGAAAAAGAAUAUGAGAAGGACAUACACUGAAAUGUUAACAGUUGUUUCUAGGUGUAAGAUUUUCUUUUUUCUUUUUUCUGAAGUGCAUAUAUAUUUCAUGAAUAUUUCAUUACACACACUUCUUUUAAAAUAAAACAGAACAAAUAAGUGAUUUUAAAAUGGAAAAGAUAAAGUAAAAGGAACUUUAAGGAAGCAAAAGCUCCAGGUGAGGAGGUCCUAAAAGGACAUACCAAUUUCAUAAGAGUUACAAUUAAAUACAUCCCAGAGCACUGCAAGAACUUUUGGAGAAGACAACAUACGCAAAAGCAGUUCCAAUCUUCAAAAAAAAUGUCAGCUUCUGAAAACUACAGCAAGAUUCUACACCUAAUUACUAGAAGAACAGAUCUGGAGUAUUUAGAAAAGAAACACUCCUAAGAUCCCAGCUUAGGCUCACUAAAAAUAAAUCAUAACAAACAAACCUCUCUUCCUUCUCUAGACAGUUACUACUAGAAAUAAUGCCCUCAAACUUGACCUGUUCAACACUUUUUUCUCUCUUUCUGAUGUAUCUUGGUUUUAUUUGGGGAAACUAUUUUGGCUUCUUAAUAGACUUUUAAAAGUUGCCAUGUCUGAUGGUUAAUUCAUCUUCUCCCCUAAAACCUGGUCCUUCUACUGUCUUUCCCAUCUGAACUGCAACUUUCAGUUACUUAGGCCAACCAUCCUGGAGUCAUCUCCGAUUCCUCUCUCUUUCUCACACUCCAUCAGCAGAUGCUGUUGGUUUUACCUUUAAAAUACAGCUAAGAUCUGACGACUUUCUCAGAACUGUCGCUACUGACAUCCACACCCAGUCCCACUCACCUUCUUUCUUCACCUGGGUUUUUAUUUGUUUGUUUGUUUUGCUUUUUAGGGCUGCACCCACAGUAUAUGGAAAUUCCCAACCUAGGGGUCAAAUUGGAGGUACAGCUGCCGGCCUAUAGCACAGCCACAGCAAUGAAGGAUCUGAGCCAGGUCUGCGAGCUACACCACAGCUCAGGGCAAUUCCAGAUCCCUGACCCACUGAGCAAGGCCAGCGACCGAACCUGUAUCCUCAUGGAUACUAGUCGGAUUCAUUACCGCUGAGCCACAAUGGGAACUCCCAUCACCUGGAUUUUUACAACUGCUGAUAAGUGAAAUCCCUACUUCUAUUCUUAACAACAUACAUGCUACUAUAUUUUUAAAACACAAGUCAGGUCAUGGUCCUCCUAUGAGAAAACCCUCAGAUGAUUCUCCAUUUCCCUCAGAGCAAGUGCCAAGGUCCUUACGUGGCCCUCCGGCCCCUUCAUUUUCGUUUCCUCCUGCUCUCUCCCUUGCUCACCUGGCUCUCGCCACAGUGGCCCCCCUGCUAGAGCUUGAAUCAGCCAUGUGUUCUCUGGCCUCAGGGACUUUGUACUUGCUAUCUCCUCUAGCCGACACUCUCUGCUUCCAGACCCUUACAUAGUCAAGAUGGCCAUACAUCCUGGUUUGCCUAAGAGAGUCCCCAUUUGUGCCUGGUAUCCCAGCAUAAUGAGCACCAUCUUACAGUAUCCCCAUUUGAAUAAGUUAUAUGGUCACCCUACACAUGGCUCAGAGCCUCAUCUCUUUCAGGUCUGCUCAACCUCGGGCUCUCACUGAGAACGCUGACACCUGAUUUAAAAUUGUUUCCUUAUUUUGUGUUCCCCACUUAUGGCUAUUUUCAUCUUCUGAUAUACUAUAGUACCUUCUUAUCGAUCAUGUUUAUUGUUUGUAUUCUGCCAUUAUGUAUGUAAUCUCCAUGCAGGCAGAUGUCUUGCCUCUUGUAUUUUCUAUACUGUAUCCCCAGCACCUAGAACAGUACCUAGUACAAAGCAGUUCUCAAUAAAUGUUUAUUGAUAAAUGAAGGCAUAGAUGAGUGCCUAGAAACUUGCUUUUUCACUAGAUAUUAAAACAAAACAAAAUAAAAUAUAAGUUUAUAUUUAGGGACCUUGAGGAAAAAUACUCUAAAAAACAUUCCUUGACAUUAUAUAAUCCAACAUGCCUUAUUAUCUAGUUAAACAUUAUUAUCCUAGUCUUAAAAGAUGUUGGAGGAGUUUUUUUAAUUUUAUUGGAGUAUAGUUGACUUACAGUAUUGUAUUAGUUUCAGGUGUGCAGCAAAGUGAGUUAGUGAUUCAUAUACAUAUAUCUAUUCUUUUUUCCCAUAUAGGUUAUUACAGAACAUGGAAUAGAAAUCCCUGUGCCAUACAGUAGGUCCUUAUUAGUUAUCUAUUUUAGAUACAGUAGUGUGUAUAUGUCCAUUUCAUUCUUUUUUAAAUUAUUUUAUUAUAGUUGGUUUACAAUGUUGUGCCAAUUUCUGCUGUAUAAUAAAGUGACCCAGUCAUACAUAUGUAUACAUUCCCUUUCUUAUAUUAUCUUCCAUCAUAGUUUAUUCCAAGAGACUGGAUAUAGUUCCCUGUGCUAUACAGUAGGACCUCAUUACUUAUCCACUCUAAAUGUAAUAGUUUGCAUCUACUAAGCCCAACCUCUCAGUCCAUCCCACCCUCUCCCCCCUCCACAAGUCUGUUCUGUAUGUCUGUGAAUCUGUUUCUGUUUUGUAGAUAGGUUCACCUGUGCCAUAUUUUAGAUUCUGCAUAUAAGUGAUGUCAUAUGGUAUUUGUCUGACAUUUCACUUAGAAUGAUAAUUUCCAGUUUCAUCCAUCUUGCUGCAAAUGGCAUUAUUUCCUGUUUUUUAUGGUUGAGUAGUAUUCCAUUGUAUAUGUGUAGCACAAAAGAUGUUGGAGUUUUUAAGUUAAAAAUUUUCCUGAUUCAAAUAAACAUAUAUAAUUCUAUUGAGUGAAUGAAAAAAUAUAUAUAUAAUCAGGGUUUCUUUAUUUCUUUGGUUGAAAGUGACAGAAAUUUAACCUAGACUUCCAGAAAUUAAGGGGGAGAAAAGGAGAUACUAUUGAGUCUCACAGAAGUGAAAGACCAAACCUUAGCAUAGCAGCUUUUGGGAUUUUAGAGUAUGGAUACAAGAGAACAGAUACAAACAAGAUUCUUUCCCCUCUUUUCUCUGCUCUUCAUAUAUCUUGGCCUUAUUCUCUCCUUUCGUAAACGGACCAGAGAAGUACUUCUUCUCUCAGCUCCCAGCUGUAGUUUAAAAAAAAAAAAAAUUCCCAGAGACAGACUAAGUCCUAUUGGCCCCAGCAUGAAUCACAUCUGCCAUAGAAGGAGGAUGAAAUACCACGAUGGAUCCCUCUACCCCUAGAGCAGUCACUAUGGUCAGAAAUGUAAGUUCCUGUCCCAAAAUGACAACUCUCCCCAUAUGAAUGGGAGAAAUACUUCCUCAAAAGAAAUCAAGUCCUUUUUCCAAAGGAAAUGAGAGAUGCAGAAAACAAAAAAGGAAAAUCUAAUAUUU
Molecule: long non-coding RNA, 6620 nt
Filed under: Sus scrofa (pig)
Lineage: Eukaryota; Metazoa; Chordata; Mammalia; Artiodactyla; Suidae
Description: lncRNA (ENSSSCG00035078287.1)
Source: RNAcentral